UGGGGAAUAUUGGACAAUGGGCGCAAGCCUGAUCCAGCCAUGCCGCGUGAGUGACGAAGGUCUUCGGAUUGUAAAGCUCUUUUUACCAGGGACGAUAAUGACGGUACCUGGAGAAUAAGCCCCGGCUAACUUCGUGCCAGCAGCCGCGGUAAUACGAAGGGGGCUAGCGUUGUUCGGAAUUACUGGGCGUAAAGCGCACGUAGGCGGAUUUGUAAGUCAGGGGUGAAAUCCCGGGGCUCAACCUCGGAACUGCCUUUGAUACUGCAAGUCUCGAGUCCGAUAGAGGUGAGUGGAAUUCCUAGUGUAGAGGUGAAAUUCGCAGAUAUUAGGAAGAACACCGGUGGCGAAGGCGGCCCACUGGACCGGUAUUGACGCUGAGGUGCGAAAGCGUGGGGAGCAAACAGGAUUAGAUACCCAUGUAGUCCCUGAGCGGGCUGGCAAGGCGCAU
This 448-nucleotide ribosomal RNA is filed under the name uncultured bacterium. RNAcentral's name for it is "bacterial SSU rRNA". It matches the Rfam family "Bacterial small subunit ribosomal RNA", at positions 355 to 825 of the family's 1533-position model. The record is from RNAcentral.